UUAAAGAGACAAAAAAAAAAUCUAUAUUUUGAACUGUACACAGGCUUGAUCGGCUGACAGAUGGUGAUUUCACCAAGGCUGAAGACUUCAUCAGGCUGAUGCAGGUUCUGUACAUCUGCACGCUCUGUGUUUCCACUGAAAAAAGCCCAACAGCCGGACAGAUCCUGCCGAUCAUCCAAAAGCUGGAGAAACACUUCGCUGCUGUAAAUGGAGACACAGCAUUUGUAGCUGACUUGAAGAAAAGGGUCUGGGGAAACAUGUCUACCCGGUACAAGAAUGAGGACAUCAGGUUCUUCUUGGAAGAAGCCACUGCCUUAGAUCCCCGCUUCAAGAAUAAGAUGGACAACAACACCGAAGUCUGGGAACGGAUCAAGGGGAAGUUGCUGGCAAACUCUGAAGAGUCGGUGGCAGUCAAUCAUGACCAUUCAGAAGAGGUUGGUGUGAUGCAGGGCGAGGGAAACCAGGAAGGUGUGAAGACUGAGAGCGAGGAGGAAGAGGAGAAUCAGCCUCCUCCUUCCAAACAAUCGAAAAAGUCUCCACUGGAGGAGCUUUUUGCUGAGGAGGAUGCCAUGAAGAGGACCUCACAAGAGGGGUUGAUGUCCAUGGAAAGUCGUGCUGAAAGGGAGAUCCAGACGUACCUGGAAACGCCACCAAUCAUCACAUCGUCUGACCCUGCAGCCUGGUUCUGGACCCAGACACAAACUUAUCCUUUACUGUCAUGUCUGGCCUUCUCAUAUUUAUGUGUCCAGGCCUCCUCAACACCUAGUGAACGGGUGUUUUCUACUGCAGGAAACACAAUCUGUGCGGAACGGUCGCGCUUACUGCCUGAGAAGGCAGACAUGAUAAUCUUCCUAAACAAGAACUGUUGUUAAUGAUUUGUCACAACUGCGCCAGGGUUUGAGUUUGUUUUAUUUUGUUACAUAUACAUCCACCUGGGCUGCAGCUCUUUGCUUUUUAGACUGCUGCCAACUUGUGUCACUUCAGCAGAAUUCAGUUAUAGUUACAGUUAGGGACCCUCGGCAAUGUGAAUAAAUAUAAUGGCCUGUGUAAAGGCUUUUUCA
RNAcentral lists this long non-coding RNA (1061 nucleotides) under Gadus morhua (Atlantic cod). RNAcentral's name for it is "lncRNA (ENSGMOG00000036246.1)". The record is from RNAcentral. Lineage: Eukaryota; Metazoa; Chordata; Actinopteri; Gadiformes; Gadidae.